CAAGUCGAGCGGCAGCGGGAAGUAGUUUACUACUUUGCCGGCGAGCGGCGGACGGGUGAGUAAUGUCUGGGAAACUGCCUGAUGGAGGGGGAUAACUACUGGAAACGGUAGCUAAUACCGCAUGACCUCGCAAGAGCAAAGUGGGGGACCUUCGGGCCUCACGCCAUCGGAUGUGCCCAGAUGGGAUUAGCUAGUAGGUGGGGUAAUGGCUCACCUAGGCGACGAUCCCUAGCUGGUCUGAGAGGAUGACCAGCCACACUGGAACUGAGACACGGUCCAGACUCCUACGGGAGGCAGCAGUGGGGAAUAUUGCACAAUGGGCGCAAGCCUGAUGCAGCCAUGCCGCGUGUGUGAAGAAGGCCUUCGGGUUGUAAAGCACUUUCAGCGAGGAGGAAGGCCGAUAACUUAAU
Molecule: ribosomal RNA, 410 nt
Filed under: Yersinia rohdei
Lineage: Bacteria; Pseudomonadati; Pseudomonadota; Gammaproteobacteria; Enterobacterales; Yersiniaceae
Description: bacterial SSU rRNA
Rfam family: Bacterial small subunit ribosomal RNA
Source: RNAcentral